Long non-coding RNA from Rhagoletis zephyria (snowberry fruit fly), 128 nucleotides. RefSeq lists it as uncharacterized. Lineage: Eukaryota; Metazoa; Arthropoda; Insecta; Diptera; Tephritidae. The record is from RefSeq and is a predicted model, not a curated record.
UUUUUAUGAAAAAAACAAGAACGGAAAAUAAUCAUAAUUUUUUAAACUUCAACCAAAACAAUCAACAAGUUGUAAUCGUCGUAAAAUAAUUUUAACCAUACUCACGUAUUUGUGUUUGUACGUCCCAC